This 462-nucleotide ribosomal RNA is filed under the name uncultured bacterium. RNAcentral describes it as "partial 16S ribosomal RNA". It matches the Rfam family "Bacterial small subunit ribosomal RNA", at positions 29 to 507 of the family's 1533-position model. The record is from RNAcentral.
AUGCACGCUGACAGAAUGCUUCACCCCUGCCAGUCGCUGGGGAAGUGGUGCUUGCACCAUGGCAACCAUGGCGGACGGGUGAGUAACGCGUAAGGGACUUACCUGCAGGACUGGGAUAACAGGGGGAAACUCCUGACAAGACCGGAUAAUGUCAUGGAGCUGCAUGGCUUUAUGAUGAAAGGAGACGCCUGCGGAGAGCCUUGCGUCCUAUUAGCUAGUUGGUGAGGUAAUGGCUCACCAAGGCGAAGAUAGGUAGCCGGCCUGAGAGGGUGGACGGCCACAAGGGGACUGAGAUACGGCCCUUACUCCUACGGGAGGCAGCAGUGGGGAAUAUUGGACAAUGGGGGCAACCCUGAUCCAGCAAUUCUGUGUGCACGAAGAAGGUUUUCGGGGUGUAAAGUGCUUUCAGCAGGGAAGAAGUAAGUGACGGUACCUGCAGAAGAAGCGACGGCUAAAUACGUG